GGGCUUAUGGGACUGAUCAACUACUGGAUUCUUGGACUUUCCAUUCACAGCUAACCAUUGUUGGAUGAGUUAGACUUGCAGUACAGCAUUCCAGAAGCAACAACAAUAUGUCACUCAUUUGACACGCAGGUAUCUGAGUGGUGACCACUGCUGUACUGUCUUCCACGGGGAGUCUACUUCCAUUCACCAGGACUAGCAGAGGGAGGGAGGAGAAGGAAGACUCAAGCGGAGCCCAACCCAGCUCUAAAAGGACUUGACCUAGGAGGAGACACUAUGGGAUCUAGCCUCCCUGCUAACCUUACAACUGGGAGUUGGAUUUUGAGAUAUUAGGAAAAAGUAAAUAAAAUCCAGGAAACAGCCCUAUACUCUGUUUGGUCACAGAGCCAUUGUUUGUGGAGGCAAUGUCAGGGGACACUUCAUGCCAGUGUCACAUCUGAGGAACUCCUAAAGCAGAAUGAGACCAGCAUCCCUCGCAAGAACAGGAAGAGGCCUAAUCUAUAGGACUCGAGGGAUGAGAAAUGAACACAAAAGAUGUAGACAGAGGUCACAUUCAGGGUCUCUCCACAGACCUGAGUGGAGGAGAAGCCCCCGUGGGAGUUUUGUUGCUUGAUGAUCCAUUUCACAAUCUUGGAUGCUGUAGACAGGUCUGAUGAAGACAGGUCCCGUGUAGGCCGGGA
RNAcentral lists this long non-coding RNA (677 nucleotides) under Mus pahari (shrew mouse). RNAcentral describes it as "lncRNA (MGP_PahariEiJ_G0003015.1)". The record is from RNAcentral. Lineage: Eukaryota; Metazoa; Chordata; Mammalia; Rodentia; Muridae.